RNAcentral lists this long non-coding RNA (1184 nucleotides) under Nicotiana benthamiana. Its description in RNAcentral is "long non-coding RNA (NBEN_LNC011638)". The record is from RNAcentral. Lineage: Eukaryota; Viridiplantae; Streptophyta; Magnoliopsida; Solanales; Solanaceae.
UUUUUUUUUUUGUUAAAAUAUUUUUUUUUGAAAAAUGCCCGCUGGGAACCGGCAGAACUGUCUGGAACCGUCAGAACCGGUCCAAAACCGCGAGCCGGUUCUGGUUCUGGCGGGUCCGGUUCUAGCAGUUCCAAGGGGUAGAACCGCUCCGCCACGGUUCCCUGGAACCGGUAGAAUCGGAACCGCUGGAACCGGGCCGCCAGAACCAACAGAACCGGAAGGCCACGGUUCCGGUCCAGUUCCGGUUCGGAACCGUCACGCAGUACACCCUUAAUCUAUGGCUUGCAUAUGACAAUUCUUACCAAAUCAAAAAAAUUAUUACUUUUUCAAUAACCGAGAAGUCCCUACGGGCCAAUGGCGUAUGAUUCGGAACUCAAUGCAUAAUGGCUCCUUUCAACUUAAAUACCAGACUUUGAAUGUGCCAGGGUUCAGAACCAUGGCGUGCAUCAAUGAAUAAAAGUUUAUCAAAACAAUGCCAAUUCCAGAACUCUAAAAUCAACAACUAACCAAACGAAGAUAACAAAAUCAGCUCCACAACUCAUAAUCAGCUAAUACUCAACAUCCAACUAAAUAUUGUUUCAUGAUCAUAAAUUAGAACAUUAAGCCCAAAACAGCCCUCAAAACCUAAACAUUGACGCGAAUAAGCAUAUAAACGAUGAUAAAAUUCUACAACGUUCGAGAAUUUGUUUUAUUCCUCCAGAAAAUUAAGUACAAAGUACCAUCACUGAGAAGGAAAAAGGGCACGAGUAAACCCUAGAAGGAUAGGAACAGAACAUACAGUUGUUGUUUUUUGGGCGGAUGAAAACUCAGUUAAUGUCGGAGUCAUCGAAAUCAUCCUGAAAGGAAUUGAAGAAGUCGGCGUCGGCGAGACGGAGGUGUUCGGCGGCGAGUGGGCCUUCACCGAAAAAAUCGAGCGCGUCCACUUCGUCAACGUCCAUCGCCAUUGUAGAUCCCUGUUCUUCCAUGUCUGCUAAGAAGUCCACAACCAUCGGCUUCAUUGCUGUAGAUUUUCAAGGGAUUUUGAUUUUUCCUCUUUCCCUCUACGGUUGCAAUGCGACUUGUACAAACUUGGGUAGGGGUGCAACGGCCUAUUUAUAUAUUUGAAAAAUCGGGUCAAAUAUGGACCGACUGAUCUUCAUCUUUACAUAAAUAGCCCAUUGUUUACUCUUCCUGACCAAUAUACA